RNAcentral lists this ribosomal RNA (440 nucleotides) under uncultured bacterium. Its description in RNAcentral is "partial 16S ribosomal RNA". It matches the Rfam family "Bacterial small subunit ribosomal RNA", at positions 338 to 795 of the family's 1533-position model. The record is from RNAcentral.
CCUACGGGCGGCUGCAGUGGGGGAUAUUGCACAAUGGGGGGAACCCUGAUGCAGCGACGCCGCGUGGGUGAAGAAGCGCCUCGGCGCGUAAAGCCCUGUCAGCAGGGAAGAAAACGACGGUACCUGAAGAAGAAGCCCCGGCUAACUACGUGCCAGCAGCCGCGGUAAUACGUAGGGGGCAAGCGUUAUCCGGAUUUACUGGGUGUACAGGGGGCGCAGGCGGCGAUGCAAGCCAGGAGUGAAAGCCCGGGGCGCAACCCCGGGACUGCUCUUGGAACUGCGUGGCUGGAGUGCAGGAGGGGCAGGCGGAAUUCCUGGUGUAGCGGUGAAAUGCGUAGAUAUCAGGAGGAACACCGGUGGCGAAGGCGGCCUGCUGGACUGCAACUGACGUUGAGGCCCGAAAGCGUGGGGAGCGAACAGGAUUAGAUACCCCGGUAGUC